GCCGGGCGUGGUGGCGCAUGCCUGUAGUCCCAGCUACUUGGGAGGCUGAGGCAGGAGAAUUGCUUGAACCCAGGAGGCAGAGGUUGCAGUGAGCCGAGAUCACACCACUGCACUCCAGCCUGGGUGACAGAGCAAGAUUCUGUCUGAA
RNAcentral lists this small RNA (148 nucleotides) under Macaca fascicularis (crab-eating macaque). RNAcentral's name for it is "Metazoan signal recognition particle RNA (ENSMFAG00000047806.1)". It matches the Rfam family "Metazoan signal recognition particle RNA". From Rfam's summary of the family: The signal recognition particle (SRP) is a universally conserved ribonucleoprotein. It is involved in the co-translational targeting of proteins to membranes. The record is from Rfam by way of RNAcentral. Lineage: Eukaryota; Metazoa; Chordata; Mammalia; Primates; Cercopithecidae.